ACUACAUUUCUCAAAAGCGAUUUCGCUACCCGAAAUUUGUUAGGGAAGUAUUUAGUCAUUAAAUGGCUAACAUAACUAGAAUUGUAACCAUAGUCCGAUAAACUAUCAACACAGUUAAACCCAGUUAUCAAACAAAAAUCCCUCAAAGAAAAAAUCAAUUUUGUCCAUUUAAAAGAACAGAAAAAUAGUCGCCAGUAGACUUUGAUAAUUCAUACUCAUUAGAAGAUGAAUUGAUUGGUUCUG
RNAcentral lists this long non-coding RNA (243 nucleotides) under Nicotiana benthamiana. RNAcentral describes it as "long non-coding RNA (NBEN_LNC022263)". Lineage: Eukaryota; Viridiplantae; Streptophyta; Magnoliopsida; Solanales; Solanaceae. The record is from RNAcentral.